CGACCCGCAGCGGGAGAGUCCUGCCGUUGACCUACAGCCGGCAGGCGCCGUAGGAGCAAACCCUCCCCAGGAAUCUCUCAGGCCCAGCACCGCAGCGGAAAG
Molecule: non-coding RNA, 102 nt
Filed under: Arthrobacter sp.
Lineage: Bacteria; Bacillati; Actinomycetota; Actinomycetes; Micrococcales; Micrococcaceae
Description: Glycine sequence
Rfam family: Glycine riboswitch aptamer
About the family: This family represents the bacterial glycine riboswitch. Glycine riboswitches usually consist of two metabolite-binding aptamers domains with similar structures in tandem.
Source: RNAcentral